Molecule: ribosomal RNA, 457 nt
Filed under: uncultured bacterium
Lineage: Bacteria
Description: bacterial SSU rRNA
Rfam family: Bacterial small subunit ribosomal RNA
Source: RNAcentral
GCACAAGCGGUGGAGCAUGUGGUUUAAUUCGACGCAACGCGAAGAACCUUACCUACUCUUGACAUCUACGGAAGACUGCAGAGAUGCGGUUGUGCCUUCGGGAACCGUAAGACAGGUGCUGCAUGGCUGUCGUCAGCUCGUGUUGUGAAAUGUUGGGUUAAGUCCCGCAACGAGCGCAACCCCUAUCCUUAGUUGCCAGCACGUAAUGGUGGGAACUCUAGGGAGACUGCCGGUGACAAACCGGAGGAAGGUGGGGAUGACGUCAAGUCCUCAUGGCCCUUACGAGUAGGGCUACACACGUGCUACAAUGGUACGUACAGAGGGAGGCAAGCUGGCGACAGUGAGCGGAUCUCUUAAAGCGUAUCGUAGUCCGGAUCGCAGUCUGCAACUCGACUGCGUGAAGUCGGAAUCGCUAGUAAUCGCAAAUCAGAAUGUUGCGGUGAAUACGUUCCCGGGC